Non-coding RNA from Caenorhabditis remanei, 75 nucleotides. Lineage: Eukaryota; Metazoa; Nematoda; Chromadorea; Rhabditida; Rhabditidae. The record is from Rfam.
AAAGUAGAGGUAGGUGCGAGAAAUGACGGAACCUCACAAAUCAUCGUUCAUUGUCUCGCAGCUGCUUCAACUGUG